This 451-nucleotide ribosomal RNA is filed under the name uncultured bacterium. Its description in RNAcentral is "partial 16S ribosomal RNA". It matches the Rfam family "Bacterial small subunit ribosomal RNA", at positions 29 to 523 of the family's 1533-position model. The record is from RNAcentral.
AGCGAACGCUGGCGGCAGGCUUAACACAUGCAAGUCGAGCGGGCAUAGCAAUAUGUCAGCGGCAGACGGGUGAGUAACGCGUGGGAACGUACCUUUUGGUUCGGAACAACUGAGGGAAACUUCAGCUAAUACCGGAUAAGCCCUUACGGGGAAAGAUUUAUCGCCGAAAGAUCGGCCCGCGUCUGAUUAGCUAGUUGGUGAGGUAAUGGCUCACCAAGGCGACGAUCAGUAGCUGGUCUGAGAGGAUGAUCAGCCACAUUGGGACUGAGACACGGCCCAAACUCCUACGGGAGGCAGCAGUGGGGAAUAUUGGACAAUGGGCGCAAGCCUGAUCCAGCCAUGCCGCGUGAGUGAUGAAGGCCCUAGGGUUGUAAAGCUCUUUUGUGCGGGAAGAUAAUGACGGUACCGCAAGAAUAAGCCCCGGCUAACUUCGUGCCAGCAGCCGCCGCAG